GGUUCCAUAGUGUUGCGGUUAGCACGUCUGCUUUACACACAGAAGGUCCUGGGUUUGGCCCCAGAGGAGCCA
Molecule: transfer RNA, 72 nt
Filed under: Pteropus alecto (black flying fox)
Lineage: Eukaryota; Metazoa; Chordata; Mammalia; Chiroptera; Pteropodidae
Rfam family: tRNA
About the family: Transfer RNA (tRNA) molecules are approximately 80 nucleotides in length. Their secondary structure includes four short double-helical elements and three loops (D, anti-codon, and T loops).
Source: Rfam by way of RNAcentral